RNAcentral lists this ribosomal RNA (418 nucleotides) under uncultured Glomus. RNAcentral's name for it is "SSU rRNA". It matches the Rfam family "Eukaryotic small subunit ribosomal RNA", at positions 569 to 997 of the family's 1831-position model. Lineage: Eukaryota; Fungi; Glomeromycota; Glomeromycetes; Glomerales; Glomeraceae. The record is from RNAcentral.
AGCAGCCGCGGUAAUUCCAGCUCCAAUAGCGUAUAUUAAAGUUGUUGCAGUUAAAAGCUCGUAGUUGAAUUUCGGGAUCAAUUUAUUGGUCGUGCUAUCGUACGUACUGGUAUUAUUGAUUCCUACCUUCUGACGAACCAUGAUGUCAUUAAUUUGGUGUCAUGGGGAAUCAGGACUGUUACUUUGAAAAAUUAGAGUGUUUAAAGCAGGCUCACGCUUGAAUACAUUAGCAUAGAAUAACGAAAUAGGACGUUUGAUUCUAUUUGUUGGUUUCUAGGAUCGACGUAAUGAUUAAUAGGGAUAGUUGGGGCAUUAGUAUUCAAUUGUCAGAGGUGAAAUUCUUGGAUUUAUUGAAGACUAACUACUGCGAAGCAUUUGCCAAGGAUGUUUCAUUAAUACAAGAACGAAAGUUAGGGAU